UUUUCUUUUAAAAAAGAAAAAAAAAAACUUUUUUCUCUUCCUUCUUCUUCUUCCUCCCCCCAACCUGAAGACCCUCUUUAUGUGCCUAGCAAUCGCCGACCAUCUCCUCUUCAGCCGGCAUCGUCAUCCGAUCAAGCCGCCACCAGCUCAUCGGUCGUUCGUUCGUGGGCCAUCGUUCGCACAGGUCAGCUCGAUCUCGUCAGCAAGUAGAGAUCGUCCAAAUCUCCUCCGUCGCGCCCCGAUCUCGCCCAGCCGGUCAGAUUUGUGUCCGAAACCAUCGUCUGCCCAGCCACUCCUCCGCGCGCCACACGUCGUCGAGGAUUUCGCCCAGCAACUCUCGCGGGUUCUUAUACGUAUCAUUCGUGGGUUUCUUCCUCUCCGCCCCUUGCCAAAGUCGCCACGUUCGCCAGAUCUAAAGCCAUCUCCGUCGAAGCGUCGUCGCCUCAGUCAUUCACACUCUGCUGAUGGCAGACCCUGUCUGUUGCCGUCCAAGAUCUCGGCCAGCGUCUUAGCUCCGCCACUGCCGUUGUCUUGCUCUCAUCGGAUUCUCAAGAUUUGUGUAAGAUUGGGUUCUUUUAGAUUCAGGUUCAGUAUUAGGUGGCUUUGCGUUGUGUUGAUUUGGAUGAUUUCAAGUGAUUUGGAUUUCAAACCACAUCUUGGGUUGGCUUUGUUUGCAAAGUUUGGGAGCGAAUUCAGCUUAAACUUCAGCUUUGGAACUUUGAUCCAAGAUUAUUCCAUUCUAAGGAGAAGAUAAACUUGUUAGUUAUCUUGGGCUUAAGUCUGAGAUCUUCCCUACCCCCAAAUUUAAAGAUGAGCAAGGUCCUCAUUGCGUCAUUUGGAGAGACUAGACAAACACUUAGAAGAAAAUUUCAAAAAGAAGGUGUGAGCAGAACUUUGCAAGAUAAAAGGUAAAGUACUGCUAAACUAAGAAUUAACUAAAUGUAAGUCAUAAUUUAUUAAGUAUGGGAAAUGCUUCUAAGUAUAAACAUGUAAUACAUCAUAGCAACGCAAUGAAGAUCGUAAAAAUAAGAGAUUUGGUAUGUCACAAAAAUUGACAAAGGAAGAUAAAGAAAGAGGCACAGGCAAAAAGUAAAGCGAAUAUAUACUCUGAUUGUAUUGAUUACUAACAAGGUAUACAAAUAAAUUACAAAUGAACGCAUUACAACAUUUUCUACUGCCUGUACAAGAGUCAAAGAAUUUGAUUACUUUACAAAUAAUAAAUGAAUUAAAUAAAAAUAAAGAAUGGCCGCAUAAAAAAUCGUAUUGGAAGAAAGUGUAAAUACUAAGGUUGAGGAGCAGAGGGAUCUGGCAGAUUUUUAGGUGGUGCAGGAGGCGCUUCUUCAAAAUUUAAGUGCUGUCGGAGAUGUAGGGGCACCAUUAGACCAUGAAGAUAUGCGGUAAGAAAGUUGAAGUACGCUUGAUUAUGCUCCGCAAUCAUUCUCUAGUGCAUAUGAACUUUAUAAAUGUUGCGCUGCAUGUUGAUCAACGCCUCUCUUAAUGUGCCGGCACUGCGUUGAAUAUCAUCAAUGUGCUCCAUUACUACCUUAAAUCGUUGAUUGAAGAAGUGUUACUAUUGAGAGAAGAGUUGUUGUUGUUUGGAGAAGUGGGAUCUCAUUUUUGCUAACUCAGCAGCCAUGGAGGUGAUGGAGGGUUGUGCCCGCGAUGUCUCGCCAGCAUUGUUUUGGGGUUGGGCAGAGGGGCCUUCACCCAAACCGUGUGGGUCAUUAACUUGCGGCGGUGGAUUCGUGAGUUGCGGUGAUGAUGCUAAUGGUGAAGGUGGGGCUGCUGGGUAAAUAGGAGAGUUGGGGACAAGAAGAAGGUUUGUAAAAUGCUCGUGUAAGGGGGAAGAGGGUUGCGCUGGUGGGCUUGGAGGGCUUAGAGGUCGAAUGACUAAGGGAAGAGGGUUCAUAGGUUCAAGAUUUUACGUUGGUGACUCCUGGACCUUCUAUUUUCCCUUAUCCUCUCUUCGUCUUCUUUUUGGUCUAGGUUCUAACGGCGCAUUCAAAUCGAUCGCAGGCCUCUUUGCUGGUAGCUUGGGGCAGUAUGGAGAAUCUUUGAGGAGCAUCCUCAAGAUUUUUAUGUUGAUGAGGUCGUGGAAUUCUAGCAUGGGCUCCUCAUCGAUGCCUACACCCAUAGACAGGCAUAAACUUGAAACGAUCCAUGGGAAGAAGUACUGCCCUGAACAUGCCCUACUAAUGCUCUGAUCUGCCCCGCAAUCAACUGCCCUACGUCAAUAAGAAUGCCGCGGGCUAUGCAGUAUACGGCCAUGACUCGAUCCCUUGAUACAGUUCUGUCAUGCAUUAUUGGGAUCAGCCGCUUCUUGGCCAAAUAAACCCAGAGCCUUCCCUCUGGCAGCAAGGACUUGGACUUUAAGGUACGGAUGCCUUUGAGUGAGACCGACCACUUCGUGCCCGAUUGUGUUAGUAACUUCAACGCGUCCUCUAUCUGCUUUUCUGUGGGAUCAUCAAUAAUCUUGUUCCCUAGUACAUUAGGGUUGUCCUUCAUUUGAUAAAUUUCAUUGAUGUCCCUUGCGUUAAAGGAUACUGUCUCUCCCUUAAAGGUCACCGCAUCCCUAUUUUCAUGUAAGCGCCCGUGGUAAAAGCUUCGCACUACCUGAGGCACAAUGAUGAAUGGGCACUGGCAGAAUGUGUCCCACCCAUGCUCCACAAUUACGCUCGUGGUGAGGUCAGGUAGUGGG
Benincasa hispida (wax gourd) is the source of this 2698-nucleotide non-coding RNA. Lineage: Eukaryota; Viridiplantae; Streptophyta; Magnoliopsida; Cucurbitales; Cucurbitaceae. The record is from RefSeq and is a predicted model, not a curated record.